Molecule: ribosomal RNA, 254 nt
Filed under: uncultured bacterium
Lineage: Bacteria
Description: partial 16S ribosomal RNA
Rfam family: Bacterial small subunit ribosomal RNA
Source: RNAcentral
UACGUAGGGGGCAAGCGUUGUCCGGAUUUAUUGGGCGUAAAGAGCGUGUAGGCGGUUUGGUAGGUCCGCUGUGAAAACUCGAGGCUCAACCUCGAGACGCCGGUGAAAACCAUCAGACUAGAGUCCGGAAGAGGAGAGUGGAAUUCCUGGUGUAGCGGUGAAAUGACGCAGAUAUCAGGAAGAACACCCGUGGCUAAGGCGGCUCUCUAGUACGGUACUGACGCUGAGACGCGAAAGCGUGGGGAGCGAACAGG